Long non-coding RNA from Equus caballus (horse), 2232 nucleotides. NCBI's taxonomy places the organism in Eukaryota, Metazoa, Chordata, Mammalia, Perissodactyla, Equidae. The record is from Ensembl.
GGCGAGGCUGGAAUCAGCUGCUUUCAAGAGGGGAACUUUAUUUAUACACCGAUGCCAGUCGCGCUCCCGCUAUUAGGCAUUUCAUCGGCUCCUCUGAUUUAGGGCUCGCCACGGGCUGCCAAUCGCGGCCGCCUCCGGCCCAGCCCUGCCCAGCUCACAGCGGCAGAAACGACCGGGAUCUCAUUUCCCGCCGGCCACCCUGAACCCGGGGCUCCCCUCCCGCUGGACACAUUGAUUUAGUCCUUCCUGGAAACUGUCUGGCUGGGAUCUGACGGGCAGCUGUGGGGACCCCGCUCAUCCCCCCUGGGCUGGGCAGGCGGGGCCCGGGGACACUAAUGGGGGAGGAUGCUAGGGGCGCCCCGAAUUGGGGGCCCAGAGCGAUCUGCCACCCCCUGACGCCCUGGGGUCCUGGCUCUGGCGGUGUCAGCAGCCGAGCCUGCGAUGCGCACUCCAGGGUCAGCUCAUCCGGGAGCAGGUCCCAGGAGGCGCCCAGGGGCUGAGGAAGUGAGACCAGGAGGGGACGCAGACCAGUGAGGCUGGGAGGCGAGCAGGUUUCCACGUGGGCACCGGGGCUCAGGUGUGCCGGGACCUCCGGGAGACUGUGCAGGAGAGCAUCUCAGGGUCGCCCACCCAGGGCCACGAGGGCAGGGUGUUGGUACCCAGCACCUGUCUGUCACCCAGUGAAGGCUGCUUCCUCCCCAGGGCAGGCGGCGUUUGCCCCCCAGCUCUGCUCCCCUGCCCGCUUGCAGACCCAACACGCUCCCGCAGCCGCCCCAUCAGCCUGCAGGCCGGGAGAGGGCGGGGCGCCGACCCCACGAGGCCAUUCAUCUUCCCUGCCACCUGUCAACGCCUCCUCUUUCUUCGGGCCUCUGCUGGAAGAGCACCUCCUCCAGGAAGCCCUCCUCAACUGUUCCUAAGAAAGAGACCUUACCCGUCACGGUGACCUUAUCGUCCGGAUAUUUCUUUCCGAAUGUGUAUCAUGAGCCAGGAUCCUCCAGGGAUGUGUCUGUUUGUGGCUUUAUGGUGCAUCGCCCCCGCUAGACUGGAAGCACAACACGCAGUUCUUGCUCCGUCCUCCCUGCGGCCCCGGAGGGCUGGUGGAAAAGCUUGCUGGACCUCAUCUCACAGCCGUGAGAGCUGAGGCUCUCUGGGACACCCCAGGACGCCAUCCUGUCUCGGUUCCUCUUCUGCUCUGAGCUGCAAUCUGCAAAAUGGGAUGACAGUGUCACGCCAUCCUGAGAUGAGCUGAUGGCACGAAACUCCAUGGAAAUAAGAGCGAUGUUGCCACUGACAAUGAAACGAGGGCAUGUGCAGAGCAAGGGGACGCCUCAGGGGUCCCCCUGUCCCCAUGGAGCCCCACUGUGCACGCGUGGUCAGCCCAGCGGGUCCCCCACCUCCACCCCCAUUUCAAGACACAGCAUCAUCAGACCUCUUCCUUCCUCCCCUUCUGCAGAUGGGGAAACUGAGGCCCCAGGAAGGGAGCAGACCCACUCAAGGACACCUUGCCAUUGGGUUGCAGCCUAGAGCCUGACUCCUGCCCAGGGCCCUCGGCUCCAUCCCCCCUGGAAAUCCACAGGGAGACCCCCUGCCGGAGCAGCAGCCUCCCUAGCAGGGGGGCCCGAGCCAGGGGGUCGUCAGCCUGUUUUAUAGACUCUCGUCCCUGUGUUUUUGCUGCGCCUUUUAAGGGCUGGGGAUUCAGGAAAACCAACUCAACGUGCAUAAUUUGUCAGGGAAACGGAGACCCAGAGAGGCCAAGGUGGUUGUCCGAGUUCACCCAGCGGAGGAGCAGAAGCGGUGUCUCCUGACACCGUCUGAGCAUUAAAUGCGUCCCCGGCUGCCACGGAAACGCCAAACCCUGCUUCUCUGAGUGUGGCCCGAGCCAGCCACGUCAGCUCGCCUGGAGUUUACUAACAAUGCAGAAGUUGAGGCCAGUUUCGCGGCAGGAGACCUGUGCUGUCCCCCGGGGCCCCACCCUUGACCCAGCGCGCUGCUGCUGACGCCCUGAGCUUCUUCUGAAUGGUUCUGAACGAGGAUUCCUGCACUGCCGUGUAGACCGGGCCGGGCCAAUCCCAGGCCCAGGCCUGCGCAUCACCGUCUGAAGUCACUCCAUCUCCCAGCGAUUCCGGGAGUUUGAGAAGUGGCUGAUUUAAAAUCCCACGCACCAGCCCCCAGUGUGGACGGCUGGCAACGCCAUUGUUAGCCUGAGAUCAUCACAGAGCCAACCCGUGCCCC